Molecule: ribosomal RNA, 1541 nt
Filed under: Salmonella enterica subsp. enterica serovar Aqua str. NVSL2001
Lineage: Bacteria; Pseudomonadati; Pseudomonadota; Gammaproteobacteria; Enterobacterales; Enterobacteriaceae
Description: bacterial SSU rRNA
Rfam family: Bacterial small subunit ribosomal RNA
Source: RNAcentral
AAAUUGAAGAGUUUGAUCAUGGCUCAGAUUGAACGCUGGCGGCAGGCCUAACACAUGCAAGUCGAACGGUAACAGGAAGCAGCUUGCUGCUUUGCUGACGAGUGGCGGACGGGUGAGUAAUGUCUGGGAAACUGCCUGAUGGAGGGGAUAACUACUGGAAACGGUGGCUAAUACCGCAUAACGUCGCAAGACCAAAGAGGGGGACCUUCGGGCCUCUUGCCAUCAGAUGUGCCCAGAUGGGAUUAGCUAGUUGGUGAGGUAACGGCUCACCAAGGCGACGAUCCCUAGCUGGUCUGAGAGGAUGACCAGCCACACUGGAACUGAGACACGGUCCAGACUCCUACGGGAGGCAGCAGUGGGGAAUAUUGCACAAUGGGCGCAAGCCUGAUGCAGCCAUGCCGCGUGUAUGAAGAAGGCCUUCGGGUUGUAAAGUACUUUCAGCGGGGAGGAAGGUGUUGUGGUUAAUAACCGCAGCAAUUGACGUUACCCGCAGAAGAAGCACCGGCUAACUCCGUGCCAGCAGCCGCGGUAAUACGGAGGGUGCAAGCGUUAAUCGGAAUUACUGGGCGUAAAGCGCACGCAGGCGGUCUGUCAAGUCGGAUGUGAAAUCCCCGGGCUCAACCUGGGAACUGCAUUCGAAACUGGCAGGCUUGAGUCUUGUAGAGGGGGGUAGAAUUCCAGGUGUAGCGGUGAAAUGCGUAGAGAUCUGGAGGAAUACCGGUGGCGAAGGCGGCCCCCUGGACAAAGACUGACGCUCAGGUGCGAAAGCGUGGGGAGCAAACAGGAUUAGAUACCCUGGUAGUCCACGCCGUAAACGAUGUCUACUUGGAGGUUGUGCCCUUGAGGCGUGGCUUCCGGAGCUAACGCGUUAAGUAGACCGCCUGGGGAGUACGGCCGCAAGGUUAAAACUCAAAUGAAUUGACGGGGGCCCGCACAAGCGGUGGAGCAUGUGGUUUAAUUCGAUGCAACGCGAAGAACCUUACCUGGUCUUGACAUCCACAGAACUUUCCAGAGAUGGAUUGGUGCCUUCGGGAACUGUGAGACAGGUGCUGCAUGGCUGUCGUCAGCUCGUGUUGUGAAAUGUUGGGUUAAGUCCCGCAACGAGCGCAACCCUUAUCCUUUGUUGCCAGCGAUUAGGUCGGGAACUCAAAGGAGACUGCCAGUGAUAAACUGGAGGAAGGUGGGGAUGACGUCAAGUCAUCAUGGCCCUUACGACCAGGGCUACACACGUGCUACAAUGGCGCAUACAAAGAGAAGCGACCUCGCGAGAGCAAGCGGACCUCAUAAAGUGCGUCGUAGUCCGGAUUGGAGUCUGCAACUCGACUCCAUGAAGUCGGAAUCGCUAGUAAUCGUGGAUCAGAAUGCCACGGUGAAUACGUUCCCGGGCCUUGUACACACCGCCCGUCACACCAUGGGAGUGGGUUGCAAAAGAAGUAGGUAGCUUAACCUUCGGGAGGGCGCUUACCACUUUGUGAUUCAUGACUGGGGUGAAGUCGUAACAAGGUAACCGUAGGGGAACCUGCGGUUGGAUCACCUCCUUA